This 407-nucleotide ribosomal RNA is filed under the name uncultured bacterium. Its description in RNAcentral is "partial 16S ribosomal RNA". It matches the Rfam family "Bacterial small subunit ribosomal RNA", at positions 30 to 526 of the family's 1533-position model. The record is from RNAcentral.
AUUGAACGCUGGCGGCAGGCCUAACACAUGCAAGUCGAGCGGAGAGGCGGAAGGGUGAGUAAUGCCUAGGAAUCUGCCUGGUAGUGGGGGAUAACGUCCGGAAAAGGGCGCUAAUCCCGCAUACUAUCAGGUGAGCCGAGGUCGGAUUAGCUAGUUGGUGGGGUAAAGGCCUACCAAGGCGACGAUCCAUAACUGGUCUGAGAGUCGGAUCAGUCACACUUGAACGGAGACACGGUCCAGCCUCCUACGGGAGGCAGCAGUGGGGAAUAUUUGACAAGGGGCGAAAGCCGGAUCCAGCCAUGCCGCGUGUGUGAAGAAGGUCUUCGGAUGGUAAAGCACUUUAAGUUGGGAGGCGUUACCAACAGAAUAAGCACCGGCUAACUUCGUGCCAGCAGCCGCGGUAAUAC